This 433-nucleotide ribosomal RNA is filed under the name uncultured bacterium. RNAcentral's name for it is "partial 16S ribosomal RNA". It matches the Rfam family "Bacterial small subunit ribosomal RNA", at positions 29 to 507 of the family's 1533-position model. The record is from RNAcentral.
AACGAACGCUGGCGGCAUGCCUAACACAUGCAAGUCGAACGAGACCUUCGGGUCUAGUGGCGCACGGGUGCGUAACGCGUGGGAACCGGCCCUUAGGUUCGGAAUAACUCCCCGAAAGGGGUGCUAAUACCGGAUAAUGUCUUCGGACCAAAGAUUUAUCGCCUUUGGAUGGGCCCGCGUUGGAUUAGCUAGUUGGGAGGGUAAAAGCCUACCAAGGCGACGAUCCAUAGCUGGGUUGAGAGGAUGAUCAGCCACACUGGGACUGAGAAACGGCCCAGACUCCUCCGGGAGGCAGCAGUGGGGAAUAUUGGACCAUGGGCGAAGGCCUGAUCCAGCAAUGCCGCGUGAGUGCUGAAGGCCUUAGGGUUGUAAAGCUCUUUUACCCGGGCUGAUAAUGACAGUACCGGGAGAAUAAGCUCCGGCUAACUACGUG